CAAAGGCUUUGAAGAACUCCAUAAUUCUGUAGGACUUUCAAGUAAACAAAAAAAAAUAACAAAAAAAUUAACUCAACAGAAAAUAACGAAACAAACAAAAAAUAACAUGCCACAAGGUCCAUAACAACAACAAAAAGGAAUUUCCAGAAGAACAGAGGACAAACCUGGUUAAAAACCCACUGAAAAAACCCAAAUAGCAAAGAGACAACAAGGGGUCACAUAAAACCUAGAAAUUUUUUCAAGGUCAAAACCCAGAUAGAGUAGAUGGGUAAAUUGCAGCAAACCUUCAUAAAAUACAGUUGUAAUCCUUCAUCAGCUUAGCUACCAGAAAGAGAGGAAUACAAAGGGGGGAUUUGGGGAGUAGAAUCAAAAUCAAAACGGUUAACAGAGCUGAUAGAGGAGGAGAAGGAGGAGCCAAUUGGGGAGGGGUUUGAAUGUUCAAAAGCUGGGCGUUUCUUGGGGACACAAAUUUUAUAGUCUGGAAAUGAGAGAGGAGAGAGAAAAAGAUAUCGAU
Molecule: long non-coding RNA, 514 nt
Filed under: Panax ginseng (ginseng)
Lineage: Eukaryota; Viridiplantae; Streptophyta; Magnoliopsida; Apiales; Araliaceae
Description: long non-coding RNA (PGIN_LNC018241)
Source: RNAcentral